UGAUUCGGUGACGGUUCAGGGAACCAUUACAUGAGUACCUUAUCAAGUGGAAGGGGCUACCGGAAAGCGAGGCAAGCUGGGAGCCAAAGGAGGCGCUUUGGCAAUUUGAAGAUCAGAUCCGGGCCUUCCACGAAGAGUCGACGAGGGCGUCGACGCAAUAGGUGGGGGAGGUUGUCACGCCCCUCCAUUUUCUAAGAGGUUAUGCCAUGCGGGCGNNNN
Molecule: long non-coding RNA, 219 nt
Filed under: Nicotiana benthamiana
Lineage: Eukaryota; Viridiplantae; Streptophyta; Magnoliopsida; Solanales; Solanaceae
Description: long non-coding RNA (NBEN_LNC041035)
Source: RNAcentral